This 92-nucleotide ribosomal RNA is filed under the name Alcanivorax sp. HI0011. Lineage: Bacteria; Pseudomonadati; Pseudomonadota; Gammaproteobacteria; Oceanospirillales; Alcanivoracaceae. The record is from RNAcentral.
CCACCUGAUCCCAUGCCGAACUCAGAAGUGAAACGACAUAUCGCCGAUGGUAGUGUGGGGUCUCCCCAUGUGAGAGUAGGUCAUCGUCAGGC